This 860-nucleotide ribosomal RNA is filed under the name Russula sp. Its description in RNAcentral is "partial large subunit ribosomal RNA". The record is from RNAcentral. Lineage: Eukaryota; Fungi; Basidiomycota; Agaricomycetes; Russulales; Russulaceae.
UCAAAUUUAAAAUCUGGUGGUCCUCGACCAUCCCAGUUGUAAUUUASAGAAGCGUCUUCCGCGCUGGACCGUGCACAAGUCUCCUGGAAUGGAGCGUCAUAGAGGGUGAGAAUCCCGUCUUUGGCACGGAUACCCCAGGGCAUUCUGUGAUGCGCUCUCGAAGAGUCGAGUUGUUUGGGAAUGCAGCUCAAAAUGGGUGGKGAACUCCAUCUAAAGCUAAAUAUUGGCGAGAGACCGAUAGCGAACAAGUACCGUGAGGGAAAGAUGAAAAGCACUUUGGAAAGAGAGUGAAACAGUACGUGAAAUUGUUGAAAGGGAAACGCUUGAAGUCAGUCGCGUCGACCGAGACUCASCCUCGCCUCGGCUUGGUGUAUUUCUCGGCUGACGGGUCAGCAUCAAUUUYUUCUCUCGGAUAAUGGCAAGARAAAGGUGGCACCUUUACGGGUGUGUUAUAGUCUCCUGUCGCAUGSGAGGGGUGGGGAUUGAGGAACUCAGCACGCGCCUCUCGGUGUCGGGGCUUCGGCUCACGCUACGUGCUUAGGAUGCUGGCGUAAUGGCUUUAAACGACCCGUCUUGAAACACGGACCAAGGAGUCUAACAUGCCCGCGAGUGUUUGGGUGGAAAACCCAUGCGCGUAAUGAAAGUAAAAGUUGGGACCUCUGUCGUGGAGGGCACCGACGCCCGGACCAAACCUUCUGUGACGGAUCUGCGGUGGAGCGUGCAUGUUGGGACCCGAAAGAUGGUGAACUAUGCCUGAAUANGGUGAAGCCAGAGGAAACUCUGGUGGAGGCUCGUAGCGAUUCUGACGUGCAAAUCGAUCRUNAAAUUUGGGUAURGGGGCGAAAGACUAAUCRAACCAU